Non-coding RNA from Paramuricea clavata, 207 nucleotides. The record is from the annotation of a GenBank genome assembly. Lineage: Eukaryota; Metazoa; Cnidaria; Anthozoa; Malacalcyonacea; Plexauridae.
GCAAUUGAUUCUAUUGUCGACGGUUUUAAGGGGUUUCAAAACGAUCCCGGCAAGGCCGGUUCCUUGUGGAUUGUCUAGAAAACCCUGAAUGAAUUAACGGAAUUAACUAUCAUUUUAAAAUAAUUAGCGGGAAAAGAAUGCCAGGCUGCUAAGCUAGAACUUAGCCCAGUGGAAAACGCACGUUUGAAAACGUGAGCAUUUGACCAC